This 292-nucleotide ribosomal RNA is filed under the name uncultured bacterium. RNAcentral's name for it is "partial 16S ribosomal RNA". It matches the Rfam family "Bacterial small subunit ribosomal RNA", at positions 505 to 796 of the family's 1533-position model. The record is from RNAcentral.
GUGUCAGCCGCCGCGGUAAUACGUAGGGUCCGAGCGUUGUCCGGAAUUAUUGGGCGUAAAGGGCUCGUAGGCGGUUUGUCACGUCGGGAGUGAAAACUCAGGGCUCAACCCUGAGCGUGCUUCCGAUACGGGCAGACUAGAGGUAUGCAGGGGAGAACGGAAUUCCUGGUGUAGCGGUGGAAUGCGCAGAUAUCAGGAGGAACACCGGUGGCGAAGGCGGUUCUCUGGGCAUUACCUGACGCUGAGGAGCGAAAGCAUGGGGAGCGAACAGGAUUAGAUACCCUCGUAGUCC